Molecule: ribosomal RNA, 459 nt
Filed under: uncultured bacterium
Lineage: Bacteria
Description: partial 16S ribosomal RNA
Rfam family: Bacterial small subunit ribosomal RNA
Source: RNAcentral
CCUACGGGUGGCAGCAGUGAGGAAUAUUGGUCAAUGGGCGGGAGGCUGAACCAGCCAAGUCGCGUGAAGGAAGAAGGUACUUAGGAUUGUAAACCUCUUUUGUCGGGGAGCAAAGUCGGACACGCGUCUCCGGUUGAGUGUACCCGAAGAAAAAGCAUCGGCUAACUCCGUGCCAGCAGCCGCGGUAAUACGGAGGAUGCGAGCGUUAUCCGGAUUUAUUGGGUUUAAAGGGUGCGCAGGCGGGGGAUCAAGUCAGCGGUAAAAUGGUGGGGCUCAACCCCGUCCGGCCGUUGAAACUGGUUUUCUAGAGUGGGAGAGAAGUAUGCGGAAUGCGUGGUGUAGCGGUGAAAUGCAUAGAUAUCACGAAGAACUCCGAUUGCGAAGGCAGCAUACCGGCUCCAUACUGACGCUGAGGCACGAAAGCGUGGGUAUCGAACAGGAUUAGAUACCCCUGUAGUC